This 227-nucleotide ribosomal RNA is filed under the name uncultured bacterium. RNAcentral describes it as "partial 16S ribosomal RNA". It matches the Rfam family "Bacterial small subunit ribosomal RNA", at positions 103 to 334 of the family's 1533-position model. The record is from RNAcentral.
CGGGUGAGUAAUGUCUGGGAAACUGCCUGAUGGAGGGGGAUAACUACUGGAAACGGUAGCUAAUACCGCAUAAUGUCGCAAGACCAAGAGGGGGACCUUCGGGCCUCUUGCCAUCGGAUGUGCCCAGAUGGGAUUAGCUAGUAGGUGGGGUAACGGCUCACCUAGGCGACGAUCCCUAGCUGGUCUGAGAGGAUGACCAGCCACACUGGAACUGAGACACGGUCCAG